Molecule: long non-coding RNA, 809 nt
Organism: Amphimedon queenslandica
Lineage: Eukaryota; Metazoa; Porifera; Demospongiae; Haplosclerida; Niphatidae
Exons: 4
Source: RefSeq, a predicted model, not a curated record
AUGUUACAGUACUGUGACAUUAAAAAAGAGUUCUGGCUCUCGAGCUUCAGAAGCUGUUGUAUAAUGUUAUAUAGGUUUAUAAUAAACAGUUCUUCUCUUUCCCAAUGCAUGUAUCUAUUAUUGAUAGGUACUGCAUAUUUCUGUCUUCUCAUGUUUGUGUUCCUUGACUCCUGUCCUUGUGCAUCUUUGUCUCCUUUCUCUCCUUUGCCUUUCUCUCCUUUGCCUUUCUCUCCUCCUCAUACACACAUACGCAUAUGUCUAACUUUUUCUCUUUCUCGAUCCUUUGCUAGAUCUCCCAAAUCUCUUCUCUCUUUUUUGUGUUACACAGUUUUAGUAUCAUACAUGGUUGUAUCACAGACAUUAAUUGUCACUUGCUGCAAUGUGGGAACAGAAAUGCAAAUAAAUGCUAUCAAAAUUGUAACAACAGUAAGACACAAUGCACACUAUAGUGCUUUUGUGUACAGUACAUGUACUGAAAGUGAGUGGGAGUAUGGUGUCUUAUUGAAUCCAUGUACAUUUAAUUAUUUAGGAUAUGUCCAAGAAAGUAACAUUAAUGCUGUGUUGCAUUGGCUGAAGCAUAAUGAUGUGCCUCAAUCCUGAUAUGUACCUCUAUCUUGCAAUGGACCAAGAUACUACUGAUGUCAUCACAUAAUGACUCUUACAUAAUUCAAGCAUAAAGACGACACAAAGAUUGAAACCUGAUUUAUUAAAUUAUUUUUUUUAAUAAUUAUUAUUGUUUAAAUGUAAUAAUCCGAUUCAGUGAAAACAAUAACAAGAAUUUUUAUUAAUUUAUUGAUAAUCAUUAUACA